UACAGAGGGUGCAAGCGUUGUUCGGAAUCAUUGGGCGUAAAGGGCGCGUAGGCGGUUUCGUAAGUCGGAUGUGAAAGCCCAGGGCUCAACCUUGGAAGUGCAUCCGAAACUGUGAAACUUGAAUCCUGGAGAGGGUGGUGGAAUUCCCAGUGUAGAGGUGAAAUGCGUAGAUAUUGGGAGGAACACCAGUGGCGAAGGCGACCUCCUGGACAGAGACUGACGCUGAGGCGCGAGAGCGUGGGGAGCAAACAGG
RNAcentral lists this ribosomal RNA (253 nucleotides) under uncultured bacterium. RNAcentral describes it as "partial 16S ribosomal RNA". It matches the Rfam family "Bacterial small subunit ribosomal RNA", at positions 524 to 776 of the family's 1533-position model. The record is from RNAcentral.